Molecule: ribosomal RNA, 648 nt
Filed under: uncultured bacterium
Lineage: Bacteria
Description: bacterial SSU rRNA
Rfam family: Bacterial small subunit ribosomal RNA
Source: RNAcentral
GAGUUUGAUCCUGGCUCAAGAUGAACGCUGGCGGCAUGCCUAAUACAUGCAAGUCGAACGGGAGACCUUCGGGUCUCUAGUGGCGAACGGGUGAGUAACACGUAGGGAACCUGCCCGCGCACCGGGAAUACGCUCUGGAAACGGAGAACAAAUCCCGAUGUACAGGAAGGAGGCAUCUUCUUUCUGUGAAACAUCCUUUAGGGGAUGGGGCGCGGAUGGACCUGCGGUGCAUUAGUUGGUUGGCGGGGUAAAGGCCCACCAAGACGAUGAUGCAUAGCCGGCCUGAGAGGGCGGACGGCCACAUUGGGACUGAGACACGGCCCAGACUCCUGCGGGAGGCAGCAGUAGGGAAUUUUCGUCAAUGGGCGCAAGCCUGAACGAGCGAUGCCGCGUGAGUGAAGAAGGCCUUCGGGUCGUAAAGCUCUGUUGCGGGGGAAAAAAGGCAGCAUCAGGAAAUGGGUGCUGACUGAUGGUGCCCCGCCAGAAAGUCACGGCUAACUACGUGCCAGCAGCCGCGGUAAUACGUAAGUGGCGAGCGUUAUCCGGAAUGAUUGGGCGUAAAGGGUGCGCAAGCGGUCCUGCAAGUCUGGAGUGGAACGCAUGAGCUCAACUCAUGCAUGGCUUUGGAAACUGGANGACUGGANAGCA